RNAcentral lists this long non-coding RNA (1680 nucleotides) under Capra hircus (goat). RNAcentral describes it as "lncRNA (ENSCHIG00010016688.1)". The record is from RNAcentral. Lineage: Eukaryota; Metazoa; Chordata; Mammalia; Artiodactyla; Bovidae.
ACCAGUUCUAUCUACAAAGACUCAGUCUAGUCAAAGUUUGCAUCUGGGUGCCACAGACUGGAAAUGUGCUGAAGACGCCACAGCAUAUGGCUGAAAGAGCCUUUAUACUGAGUGUGAAAGAGACACUUGGUAAAUCCUCUUGAAUAGAAAAACAGCUGGUGCCCAUGUGUUCAGCUUCGGGCUUUUCCAACUUAAAGCCUCCUCUGCAGGUGAAGCUGAGGACGGCAUUUCGGGGAGCAUCGGUGAGGCCUCACUCCCUUCCCUCUGCCCGGGGCGCUUCAGGUGGGAACCUCAGCAGAACGCGUGUGGGAAGCUGGUGUCCUUGCAUCCGCUCUGCACGCUGGCCAAGAAAUAAAGCUCUUAAAACCUUUUAUUUGGAGAUAAAGGUGGAUUUUAAUGCACUUGUGAAAAAUACUACAGGGAGGCUCUGUGACAACCUAAAGGGGUGGGAUGGGGUGGAGGUGGCAGGAAGGUUUAAGAGGGAGAGGAUGUAUAUAUAUACCUGAGGCUGAUUCAUGUUGAUGUACGGCAGAAACCAACACAAUAUUGUAAAGCCUUUAUCCUCCAAUUAACCAUAAAUAAGUUAGAAAUAGUAAUAAUAAUACAGGGAGGCCCCCUAUACCCCUUACUCAGCCUUUCCAGUGGCAGCAACCUGCAUAAGUAGGGAACAGUAUCACAAUAGGAACUUGACAAUAUAAUAAGUUCAUCCGUCUCAUUCGACUUUCACGCAUUUGUGUAUUUAGUUCCGUGCGCCUUUAUCGCCCGGGCAGAGCUGUUCGGCACCGUCACGGUCUGUACUCAGCAGCCGCGUCACAGGGAUCACCCCCUUUUGCAGCAGAUGCCCACCCCUCUUCUCACCCACUGUCCUCUGACACCUGCCCUCCUUCCGCACCGUGCUGACAUUUCGAGAGCGUUAUGUAAAUGCAAUCUUUCCCGGCACAGUCCUCCGAAAUUGGCUCUUUUCACUCAGCACGAUGUCUGGGGACUCUUCCACGCGUGUUUGUGGCUGAGAAGUGUCCGUGCUGGGGGUGGACCACAGUUUGUUUCACUCACUGGAGAACAUCUGGGUUCCUUCCAGAGUUUUUACAGGACAUUUGAGCACAGGUUUUUGUGUGAAUGUUUUUGUUUUGUGGGGAUAAAUAUUUAGGAAUACCAUUUCUGGGUCAUAUGGUAAAUGAAUGCUUUAAUUUUUGUGUUUUUGAUGUCUUUUCUGUUUUUACUGUGGUAACAGUCACAUAAUAUACAACACACAGUUUCAACCAUAUUUAAGUGCCCAGCUCUGUGAUGUUAAGCACAUUCUCGUUGUGGAACUCUCACCGUCGUCCCUAGAUUGAAACUCUAUCCCCAUUAAACACUAGGGCCCCCAUUCCCCUUCCCCAGCCCUCUGACUCUGUGAAUUUGACUAUUCUAGGGACCUCGUGUAAGUGGGAUCAAACAGUGUUUGUCUGCAUCUCAUGUAUAGUGGAAUGCAUUUUUAAGGUUGACUCAAUAUCCUGCAAACAGACUGUACUCUCUUUGUUUUCCCUGUGCUUCACAGUAGGUGCUCAUUAGUUAUUUAUUAUAUACAUCAGUUCAGUUCAAUCGCUGUCAUGUCCGACUCUUUGUGACCCCAUGGACGGGAGCACGCCAAGCCUCCCUGUCCAUCACCAACUCCCAGAGCUUACCCAAACUCAUGUCCAU